RNAcentral lists this ribosomal RNA (371 nucleotides) under uncultured bacterium. Its description in RNAcentral is "bacterial SSU rRNA". It matches the Rfam family "Bacterial small subunit ribosomal RNA", at positions 527 to 896 of the family's 1533-position model. The record is from RNAcentral.
GUAGGGGGCAAGCGUUGUCCGGAUUUAUUGGGCGUAAAGAGCGUGUAGGCGGCCAUACAGGUCAGCUGUGAAAACUCGAGGCUCAACCUCGAGACGUCGGUUGAAACCGUAUGGCUAGAGUCCGGAAGAGGAGAGUGGAAUUCCCGGUGUAGCGGUGAAAUGCGCAGAUAUCGGGAAGAACACCUAUGGCGAAGGCAGCUCUCUGGGACGGUACUGACGCUGAGACGCGAAAGCGUGGGGGGCGAACAGGAUUAGAUACCCUGGUAGUCCACGCCGUAAACGAUGGGAACUAGGUGUGGCGGGUGUCGACUCCCGCUGUGCCGAAGCUAACGCAUUAAGUUCCCCGCCUGGGGAGUACGGCCGCAAGGCUA